AAUGAACGUUGGCGGCGUGGAUUAGGCAUGCAAGUCGAGCGAGAACCCGCAAGGGGGACAGCGGCAAACGGGGUAGUAACGGGUAGGUGACGUACCCUUCGGUCGGGGAUAGCCACGGGAAACUGUGGGUAAUACCCGAUAACCUCUUCGAACGUGAUGGUUUGGAGAGCAAAGGUGUGAUUCCACCGGAGGAGCGGCCUGCUUCGUAUUAGCUAGUUGGUGAGGUAACGGCUCACCAAGGCGACGANGCGUAGGGGGUGUGAGAGCAUGA
This 271-nucleotide ribosomal RNA is filed under the name uncultured bacterium. RNAcentral describes it as "partial 16S ribosomal RNA". It matches the Rfam family "Bacterial small subunit ribosomal RNA", at positions 29 to 303 of the family's 1533-position model. The record is from RNAcentral.